Dreissena polymorpha is the source of this 1113-nucleotide long non-coding RNA. RefSeq lists it as uncharacterized. The transcript is spliced from 4 exons. The record is from RefSeq and is a predicted model, not a curated record. NCBI's taxonomy places the organism in Eukaryota, Metazoa, Mollusca, Bivalvia, Myida, Dreissenidae.
AAAAUACCAUUUCCCCUCCAAAAAUAUAACUUUUCACCAAAAUAUAAUAUUUUACCCUCAAAGAAAUGUUUUUUUUCUUUUGUGAAGUCGACACUUAUCCAAUUUGUACCACGUACAACGAUCUCGCUCUCUCUCUCUCUCCCGACGAACACUCAAAUCUGGGAAUCCCAGUGAUUCUAUAUAUAGCUCUGAAAUUACGUCAUGGAAACCGGGCAACUAAUCGUAUUAAUCAUGUGACUAUUUUACUGGAUUCCGGUCUUGCGCGAGAAGGGUGUUUCGUCAAUUAAUUACUGGAAACCAGUCGAAUUUUCAUCCGGGUUAUGUGAAAGCCAAAAUAUAAACGUUAAAACAGAAAAAGUCUCACAAUUGGCGUUCAUACACGAACAAAAUAAAACGUUCGGACUCGGAAAAUAUUAAUUGCGUUGACGCAUUUUUUAAGAAUGAAUCAUCAAAAACCAUUGAAACCAAGCAGGAUUCGGAGAUGUGAUGUCAGAAGAGUGUGAUUUGACUGUGAAGGUUUUAUCCCUCUGAUUCACAAUCUCUGGGAGCCGGUCUGUAGAAAUGUUUGUCCGUGGUUGUGCGGAGGUAGAACCGGUUGGAGGCUCCCUGACACCCAUAAGCAGAUCUGCCUCUGCACCGCAAUACUCACAGGGCUGAGAACAGCCUGAACCUGGAACCAGCCAUAGGAGUGGAAUAUUGUUGCAUACCCGAGUUCUCCUGCAUUGGUUCUGCUGGGACAAUCAACUCUCUACGACAGUACUUUCUGGACAGCAAGUUUCUUCUGUUGGAGUGAAGUUCCUCACCUGAAGGAUUUAAUAGAAAUCAACUUACACUGUAGUCUCUGAUGACUGAUUCCAAGACUUUCAAUAGACUGUGUUUGAUAAACACAUAUGGAAUUCAAUUUAACCACAGAAUUGUUAACAGAAACAUCUCUAAACCUUUACAGGUACAGAGAAUGAAUGAUUAAUCAUAUCCUACCUGUGUCCUUGCCAGCAUAUCUGGGGUUCUUGACCACAGUGGUGAUGCUGUGACUAGUGUAGUCAUCAUAGCUGUCAUCGUGCCCACUGGGACUGGGGGAGGUCUGCUCCUUUAGAACUGUCUCCAAAUCCUUGU